RNAcentral lists this long non-coding RNA (848 nucleotides) under Homo sapiens (human). Its description in RNAcentral is "HSALNT0387288". Lineage: Eukaryota; Metazoa; Chordata; Mammalia; Primates; Hominidae. The record is from RNAcentral.
AGCUGGAAUCAUGGCACUGCACUCCAGCAUGGGUGACAGAGCGAGACUUGGUCUAAAAAAUAUAUAUAUAUGUUACAAAGAAAGGCUGGGCUCAUGCCUGUAAUCCCAGCACUUUGGGAAGCCAAAAUGAGAGGAUCACUUGAGGCCAGGAGUUUGAGACCAGCCUGGUCAAUAUAGUGAGACCCCAUCUCAAAAAAAAAAAAAAAAAAUACAAAGAAAUACAAAGGCCCUUUCUGUACCAUAUGGCAUAGUCAUUUCUUCUGCUAUCCCUUCACUUCUUUUCAGCUACCAGGACUUUGGAAAUUUCUUUAUGUUCUUGGUCGGGUGGUCUCUUUCCACAUAGGUUUUUCUUUGGGCAGUGUUACUUAUUUGUAAAUAGGAGAUACGUUCAUUGUUCUCAGUUUACACUGAUUUCUCCCCCGCUUUCCCAAUUUUAACUUUUAUACAACACACAACAGAAAACAUGUCCUUUUGCUGUAUUCGACUGGUAUGCCUCUACUGUUGACUGUGAUAGCUUAACCGUUGUCUUUGUUCAUUUCAGGAGCAAGACACUUCAUACUCUAUAGAUUGGUUAGGGUGUUAAAGCUACAUUAACUUUGCCGGACGUAUAACAAAGGAGCAUUUGAUAGUCUUGUACUUCUCAGUUCAUUAACAAAUUACAUGAUCUCAAUAUAGUGUCACAGAUCCAAAUAGUAAUGUCUAUUCUUUUCUGCAUUUACACCUGUUCCUUUGGCCAUUCAAUAAAUUCAAUGAGAAGCCCUUGUGUACUGUGACUUAAGAAUAAUUGGACAAAUAUUUCUGGAGUUCCUCUAAAUCAAUUUCAUUUCUUGGAGCUCUCCGAUAACAUC